UACGGAGGUGGCUAGCGUUGUUCGGUAUCACUGGGCUUAAAGGGGGUGCAGGCGGUUCAGAUAGUCGGCAUGUGAAAUCCCUCAGCUCAACUGAGGAAUUGCAUUCGAUACUACUGGACUAGAGGCUCGUAGGGGAGAACAGAAUUCCUGGUGUAGCGGUGAAAUGCGUAGAUAUCAGGAAGAAUGCCGGUGGCGAAGGCGGUUCUCUGGGCGAGCCCUGACGCUGAGGCCCGAAAGCCGGGGGAGCGAACAGG
This 254-nucleotide unclassified non-coding RNA is filed under the name uncultured bacterium. Its description in RNAcentral is "contains 16S-23S intergenic spacer region". It matches the Rfam family "Bacterial small subunit ribosomal RNA", at positions 524 to 776 of the family's 1533-position model. The record is from RNAcentral.